UGGGGAAUAUUGGACAAUGGUCGUAAGACUGAUCCAGCCAUGCCGCGUGCAGGAAGACGGCCCUAUGGGUUGUAAACCGCUUUUGUACCAGAGAAAACCUAUCUACGUGUAGAUAGCUGAUAGUAUGGUAAGAAUAAGCAUCGGCUAACUUCGUGCCAGCAGCCGCGGUAAGACGAAGGAUGCAAGCGUUAUCCGGAUUCAUUGGGUUUAAAGGGUGCGUAGGCGGGCUUGUAAGUCAGUGGUGAAAUCUCUCAGCUUAACUGAGAAACUGCCAUUGAUACUGCAGGCCUAGAGUAUAGAUGACGUUGGCGGAAUAUGACAUGUAGUGGUGAAAUACUUAGAUAUGUCAUAGAACACCGAUUGCGAAGGCAGCUAACGAGACUAUAACUGACGCUGAGGCACGAAAGUGCGGGGAUCAAACA
This 422-nucleotide ribosomal RNA is filed under the name uncultured bacterium. RNAcentral's name for it is "bacterial SSU rRNA". It matches the Rfam family "Bacterial small subunit ribosomal RNA", at positions 355 to 774 of the family's 1533-position model. The record is from RNAcentral.